Molecule: ribosomal RNA, 433 nt
Filed under: uncultured bacterium
Lineage: Bacteria
Description: partial 16S ribosomal RNA
Rfam family: Bacterial small subunit ribosomal RNA
Source: RNAcentral
AACGAACGCUGGCGGCAUGCCUAACACAUGCAAGUCGAACGAGACCUUCGGGUCUAGUGGCGCACGGGUGCGUAACGCGUGGGAACCUGCCUUUAGGUUCGGAAUAACUCAGAGAAAUUUGAGCUAAUACCGGAUGAUGUCUUCGGACCAAAGAUUUAUCGCCUUUAGAUGGGCCCGCGUUGGAUUAGCUAGUUGGUGGGGUAAAGGCCUACCAAGGCGACGAUCCAUAGCUGGUCUGAGAGGAUGAUCAGCAACACUGGGACUGAGACACGGCCCAGACUCCUACGGGAUGCAGCAGUGGGGAAUAUUGGACAAUGGGCGAAAGCCUGAUCCAGCAAUGCCGCGUGAGUGAUGAAGGCCUUAGAGUUGUAAAGCUCUUUUACCCGAGAUGAUAAUGACAGUAGCGGGAGAAUAAGCUCCGGCUAACUCCGUG